GGCCUUGCGCUCUUUGAGCGGCCGAUGUCAGAUUAGCUAGUUGGUGAGGUAAAGGCUUACCAAGGCGACGAUCUGUAGCGGGUCUGAGAGGAUGAUCCGCCACACUGGAACUGAGACACGGUCCAGACUCCUACGGGAGGCAGCAGUGGGGAAUUUUGGACAAUGGGGGCAACCCUGAUCCAGCCAUGCCGCGUGAGUGAAGAAGGCCUUCGGGUUGUAAAGCUCUUUCGGCCGGGAAGAAAUCGCAUGGGCCAAUACCCUGUGUGGAUGACGGUACCGGAAUAAGAAGCACCGGCUAACUACGUGCCAGCAGCCGCGGUAAUACGUAGGGUGCGAGCGUUAAUCGGAGUUACUGGGCGUAAAGCGUGCGCAGGCGGUUUUGUAAGACAGGCGUGAAAUCCCCGGGCUUAACCUGGGAACUGCGUUUGUGACUGCAAGGCUAGAGUACGGCAGAGGGGGGUGGAAUUCCACGUGUAGCAGUGAAAUGCGUAGAGAUGUGGAGGAACACCAAUGGCGAAGGCAGCCCCCCGGGUCGAUACUGACGCUCAUGCACGAAAGCGUGGGUAGCAAACAGGAUUAGAUACCCUGGUAGUCCACGCCCUAAACUAUGUCAACUAGGUGUUGGGUGGGUAAAACCAUUUAGUACCGUAGCUAACGCGUGAAGUUGACCGCCUGGGGAGUACGGCCGCAAGGUUAAAACUCAAAGGAAUUGACGGGGACCCGCACAAGCGGUGGAUGAUGUGGAUUAAUUCGAUGCAACGCGAAAAACCUUACCUACCCUUGACAUGCCAGGAACUUGCCAGAGAUGGCUUGGUGCCCGAAAGGGAGCCUGGACACAGGUGCUGCAUGGCUGUCGUCAGCUCGUGUCGUGAGAUGUUGGGUUAAGUCCCGCAACGAGCGCAACCCUUGUCGUUAAUUGCCAUCAUUUAGUUGGGCACUUUAGCGAGACUGCCGGUGACGAACCGGAGGAAGGUGGGGAUGACGUCAAGUCCUCAUGGCCCUUAUGGGUAGGGCUUCACACGUCAUACAAUGGUCGGUACAAAGGGUUGCCAAGCCGCGAGGCGGAGCCAAUCCCAGAAAGCCGAUCGUAGUCCGGAUUGCAGGCUGCAACUCGCCUGCAUGAAGUCGGAAUCGCUAGUAAUCGUGGAUCAGCAUGUCACGGUGAAUACGUUCCCGGGUCUUGUACACACCGCCCGUCACACCAUGGGAGCGGGUUCCGCCAGAAGUAGGUAGCCUAACCGCAAGGGGGGCGCUUACCACGGCGGGG
RNAcentral lists this ribosomal RNA (1267 nucleotides) under metagenome. RNAcentral's name for it is "bacterial SSU rRNA". It matches the Rfam family "Bacterial small subunit ribosomal RNA", at positions 209 to 1467 of the family's 1533-position model. The record is from RNAcentral.